This 949-nucleotide ribosomal RNA is filed under the name uncultured bacterium. RNAcentral describes it as "bacterial SSU rRNA". It matches the Rfam family "Bacterial small subunit ribosomal RNA", at positions 8 to 916 of the family's 1533-position model. The record is from RNAcentral.
AGAGUUUGAUCAUGGCUCAGGACGAACGCUGGCGGCGUGCCUAACACAUGCAAGUCUACGAGAAAUUCCGCUUCGGCGGGAGAGUAAAGUGGCGCACGGGUGAGUAACACGUAGGUAAUCUGCCUUUAGGACGGGGACAACUCCGAGAAAUCGGGGCUAAUACCCGAUGAUGCAGCGGCACCGCAUGGUGAAUGUUGUUAAAGGUUUCGACGCAAGUCGGAAUGCCUAUUGAUGAGCCUGCGUCCCAUUAGGUAGUUGGUGAGGUGACGGCCCACCAAGCCUACGAUGGGUAGCUGUUCUGAGAGGAUGAUCAGCCACACUGGAACUGAGACACGGUCCAGACUCCUACGGGAGGCAGCAGUGAGGAAUAUUGCGCAAUGGCCGAAAGGCUGACGCAGCGACGCCGCGUGAAGGAUGAAAUCCGUUAGGAUGUAAACUUCUUUUGCAGUGGAAGAACGUCCCGGUUUUAACCGGGAGUGACGGUACACUGCGAAUAAGGAUCGGCUAACUACGUGCCAGCAGCCGCGGUAAUACGUAGGACCCGAGCGUUGUCCGGAUUUACUGGGUGUAAAGGGCGUGUAGGUGGAUCUCUAAGUCGGUGGUGAAAUCUUGCAGCUUAACUGUAAAAUGGCGAUCGAUACUGGAGAUCUUGAGUGCGGAAGAGGGAAACGGAAUUCAUGGUGUAGCGGUGAAAUGUGUAGAUAUCAUGAAGAACACCGGUAGCGAAGGCGGUUUCCUGGUCCGUAACUGACACUGAGGCGCGAAAGCGUGGGGAGCAAACAGGAUUAGAUACCCUGGUAGUCCACGCUGUAAACGAUGGGUACUAGGUGCUGGUCCCGCUCCGCACAUGCGUUGACAUGUUCGGAGCGGGGUCAGUGCCAAAGCUAACGCAUUAAGUACCCCACCUGGGGAGUACGAUCGCAAGGUUGAAACUCAAAUGAAUUGACGG